This is an RNA transcript of Zea mays, 812 nucleotides long. It is a transcript of the gene named ycf36 pseudogene, with no coding region annotated. The transcript is spliced from 3 exons. Lineage: Eukaryota; Viridiplantae; Streptophyta; Magnoliopsida; Poales; Poaceae. The record is from RefSeq and is marked validated.
AUGGCCGAUCUCCUCCACGCGCGCUUCCUCUCGCUCCCCUUGGCCCCGAACCCUAGCCCCGCCCUCCCCGCGAGCGGCGCGCGGCGGGUGCCCCCGGUCCCCGUGCCUCGCCAAGCUCCUCCUCGCCGGAGACCGAGUGGUGCCCGGUGCAGCCGGAGCAGCGCCCCGUGAAGUGUGAACGAGUACGAGGCGCUCGCGGCCUCCCUUCCCUUCUCCCGGGCGGCGGGGGACCUCCGAUCCUACUGCUCCCGCCUCGCGCUCACGGGCGCCGCCGUCGCGCUCUUCGUCGGGCUCCCCGUCGCCGCCUUCGGGGCACGCGGCGGGGCCGGCGGCGACGCUCUGCACCUCACGCUCGGCGCCACGGGGUCCGGGAUCCUCGCCGUCACGCUCGCGGUCAUGCGGAUGUACCUCGGGUGGGCCUACGUCGGCAACCGCCUGCUCAGCGCCACAGUGGAGUAUGAGGAGACGGGAUGGUAUGAUGGACAGGUCAAGCCUGUGGUAAACAGAGUGAAGUUCACCUUGGUGGGUCUGGCAGGCUCCCUCAUCCUUUGCAUUCUUCUUUACUUGGGAUGCGUACCGGUGGAAGGUCUAUCCCGGAAGUGUACAGUGACGUUGCCGCAAGGUCAUUUGGGCCUGAUGCGUUCUGUGGAGAAGCUGAUCUGUCGUAGCAUCGCAAAGCGUGGAGCAUGAGAAGUUUUUAGAUGGUGGUAUAUGGUCUCAUAGGGUAGGUAUACAAGUUCCCCUUUGUCUUGCCUUGUGGUUGGUGGAUGGUUCCAUUUCUGUACGGGGUUUUUUAUCCAUCAGUUACUGCA